RNAcentral lists this long non-coding RNA (1708 nucleotides) under Olea europaea subsp. europaea. Lineage: Eukaryota; Viridiplantae; Streptophyta; Magnoliopsida; Lamiales; Oleaceae. The record is from RNAcentral.
CAAUAUUAUGCAAAUGUUUCACUUGAUGAUUACACAGUUUUAAAUAAAAGAACCUACAAUUGGUGGUAGUAAUGGCUGCAAAACUAUCAAAAUAAUCUUCACUACAGCUCAUUCAACAGCCUCCUAUAAGGAAAAAUUAAGAAAAAAAUGAUAUAAUAAUCCCAGUGAGUGGAGUGCUUAAAAGAUGGUUGUACUGUCCUUUAUGUAUGUAUAUAUAAUUAUAUACAACAAGAUGAAUAAAUGCAUUAGACGAAUUCAAUAAUCUACAACCAUAAUCUGAAAUCCAUGAGCUAAACUAUAAACGGGGAAAUGUAAGUUGAAGGCUAAUAACCCACUACAAACAUAAAAUUCACAUUAAAAUAUACCCCAUGUAAACAUCUACUCAUGAUCUGAAAGCUAUAACAUCAUAUGCAUAUAAAUUGUCUGAUCAAUACUUUGAACACGGUGGUAGACCCUCAGUGUACAAUAUGGAAACAACAUAAUCAUCCUUAUAAAUGGCUGUAGCCCCUGAGGGUAUAAUAGAUACCUUUACCCACGGUCAUAGCCUCCUAGUAAAUAAGAGUGACCUUUACACAUGGAUGUAGCCCCUCAGUGUAUAUGAGUUAAAUACAUGACUCUAGUACACGGUUGUAGCCCCUCAGUGCACUAGAGUAAGAUAAUCACAUCAAUUAUUUUCUGAUAAUUUCAAAACAAUCAUGCUCAUUUACUAAUAUAUCAAAAAUAAGACAUUUCAUGUAAUUAAUAUGCUUCUAUAAAAUAAAAAGAAAAUCUUCUUUUUGCAAAAGUAGGUUCUCCACACACAGAUAUAGGCUAGACUAAUAGGGCUGGUAUGUUGUUUCCACAUCCAAAUCCCCUCCUGAAAUGAUCAUACAUAUAAACCACUUCAAUUCCAUCCAUAUAUACAGUUACAAGGGAUUUCUCAAUAAUAACCCCUACUUAUGAUCAAAAUAAAAUAUCUAUCCCUCAAUAAGCAAUAAGCUGAGACUUAAUAUUUCUAUUUCAUUUGGUUACUUAAGCAUACGAUCACUUAAUGUUCGAAUCAUUCUACAUUCCUAACUCGUUAAUACUAACCUUUCCUGGCUGCCCUGUCAAGAUUCAACAAACUUUUCAUGAUAAUAAUCAUCCACAUUCCUUGAAUACAUAAAUCUUAUCAAAAACUCCUUUCUUAUAUUCUCCAUAUUAAUCCAAACUGAGAACUUGAGCACAAGUUAUUCUCAACCAAUCUAACUUACCAUACAACAAUCACAAGGGAAAAUAACAAGAAUGCUAAUUUUUCCCCAAAUUUUCGGAUUAACCCACAUAUAACAAAACCCUAAUAUCUAAAUAUUAUUUCUUCCAAUCCACUAGAAUAAAUAGCUCAAAAUACUCAAAUAGUUAGCUUCCUUAUCAUAUUUUUCAAGUAUAAGCUAUAAAUUUAAAACCCUAAAAAAAAUCUACCAAAACUAAACCAUAAAUUCUUAACCUUACCUCUUGAAGAAUUAAAUAAGCAAGAUUGAAGUAGUUGGCAUAAGAUUUCUUCUUUCUUUUUUCCUUUCCUUCUCUUUUUCCUUUCUUUCUUUUUCUUUUCUAUUCUUUUUCCUUGGUUUUUCCCCCUUCUAUGGGUUCUCUCUCUCUCAACAGAUUCUAGUAUGUGUUUUUGUGUGACUUGGGAGAAAAAUAUGGUCAAAGGUUGAAUAUAAAGGCCCACUUGUUCAAAAUUGCAAAGGAA